CUGAAUACAGAGUGGCUCUCCUUCCUCCGCUUCUACAUCAUUCUGAGGAUUCUGAAUACAGGGUGGUGCUCCCUCCGCUUCUACAUCAUUUUGAGGAUUCUGAAUACAGGGUGGCGCUCCCUCCGCUUCUACUACAUCAUUUUGAGGAUUCUGAAUACAGGGUGGUUCUUCUUCCAUACCGGGUGGCUCUCCUUCUUCCUCUUCUACAUCAUUUUGAGGAUUCUGAAUACCGGGUGGCUCUCCUUCUUCCUCUUCUACAUCAUUUUGAGGAUUCUGAAUACCGGGUGGCUCUCCUUCUUCCUCUUCUACAUCAUUUUGAGGAUUCUGAAUACCGGGUGGCUCUCCUUCUUCCUCUUCUACAUCAUUUUGAGGAUUCUGAAUACAGGGUGGCUCUCCUUCUUCCUCUUCUACAUCAUUCUGGGGAUUCUGAAUACAGGGUAGCUCUCCUUCCUCCUCUUGUACAUCAUUUUGACGAUUCGGAAUACAGGGUAGCUCUCCUUCUUCCUCUUCUACAUCAUUUUGAGGAUUCUGAAUACAGGGUGGCUCUCCUUCUUCCUCUUCUACAUCAUUCUGGGGAUUCUGAAUACAGGGUAGCUCUCCUUCCUCCUCUUGUACAUCAUUUUGACGAUUCGGAAUACAGGGUAGCUCUCCUUCUUCCUCUUCUACAUCAUUUUGAGGAUUCUGAAUACAGGGUGGCUCUCCU
Molecule: long non-coding RNA, 703 nt
Filed under: Lotus japonicus
Lineage: Eukaryota; Viridiplantae; Streptophyta; Magnoliopsida; Fabales; Fabaceae
Description: long non-coding RNA (LJAP_LNC001200)
Source: RNAcentral